RNAcentral lists this ribosomal RNA (253 nucleotides) under uncultured bacterium. RNAcentral's name for it is "partial 16S ribosomal RNA". It matches the Rfam family "Bacterial small subunit ribosomal RNA", at positions 524 to 776 of the family's 1533-position model. The record is from RNAcentral.
UACGUAGGGGGCAAGCGUUAUCCGGAUUUACUGGGUGUAAAGGGAGCGUAGACGGUUAAUCAAGUCAGAAGUGAAAACCCAGGGCUCAACCUUGGGACUGCUUUUGAAACUGAGUAGCUAGAGUGCAGGAGAGGUAAGCGGAAUUCCUAGUGUAGCGGUGAAAUGCGUAGAUAUUAGGAGGAACACCAAUGGCGAAGGCGGCUUACUGGACUGUAACUGACGUUGAGGCUCGAAAGCGUGGGGAGCAAACAGG